AGUUCGGUCCCUAUCCGCUGCGCGCGUAGGAAAUUUGAGAGGAUCUGACCCUAGUACGAGAGGACCGGGUUGGACGAACCUCUGGUGUGCCAGUUGUUCUGCCAAGAGCACCGCUGGUUAGCUACGUUCGGGAUGGAUAACCGCUGAAAGCAUCUAAGCGGGAAGCCGGCCUCAAGAUGAGAUUUCCAUGCCUUCGGGCGAGAGGCUCCCAGCCAGACUACUGGGUUGAUAGGCGAGAUGUGGAAGCGUGGUAACACGUGCAGCUGACUCGUACUAAUAAGCCGAUGACUUGAUAACACA
Molecule: ribosomal RNA, 300 nt
Filed under: Microbacterium sp. SCN 70-200
Lineage: Bacteria; Bacillati; Actinomycetota; Actinomycetes; Micrococcales; Microbacteriaceae
Description: partial 23S ribosomal RNA
Rfam family: Bacterial large subunit ribosomal RNA
Source: RNAcentral